RNAcentral lists this ribosomal RNA (464 nucleotides) under uncultured bacterium. Its description in RNAcentral is "partial 16S ribosomal RNA". It matches the Rfam family "Bacterial small subunit ribosomal RNA", at positions 339 to 795 of the family's 1533-position model. The record is from RNAcentral.
CUACGGGAGGCUCCAGUGGGGAAUAUUGCACAAUGGGCGCAAGCCUGAUGCAGCCAUGCCGCGUGUAUGAAGAAGGCCCUCGGGUUGUAAAGUACUUUCAGCGGGGAGGAAGGGAGUAAAGUUAAUACCUUUGCUCAUUGACGUUACCCGCAGAAGAAGCACCGGCUAACUCCGUGCCAGCAGCCGCGGUAAUACGGAGGGUGCAAGCGUUAAUCGGAAUUACUGGGCGUAAAGCGCACGCAGGCGGUUUGUUAAGUCAGAUGUGAAAUCCCCGGGCUCAACCUGGGAACUGCAUCUGAUACUGGCAAGCUUGAGUCUCGUAGAGGGGGGUAGAAUUCCAGGUGUAGCGGUGAAAUGCGUAGAGAUCUGGAGGAAUACCGGUGGCGAAGGCGGCCCCCUGGACGAAGACUGACGCUCAGGUGCGAAAGCGUGGGGGGCAAACAGGAUUAGAUACCCUGGUAGUC